GAUGAACGCUGGCGGCGUGCCUAAUACAUGCAAGUCGAACGCUGGAGAUCUAGCUUGCUAGAUCGAAGGAGUGGCGAACGGGUGAGUAAUACAUAAGCAACCUACCCACGAAGACUGGGAUAAUCUCUGGAAACGGGGACUAAUACCGGAUAGGUAAUCGGAAGGCAUCUUCUGGUUAUUAAAGGUUAAAAACACUGGUGGAUGGGCUUAUGGCGCAUUAGUUAGUUGGCGAGGUAACGGCCCACCAAGACGAUGAUGCGUAGCCGGCCUGAGAGGGUGAACGGCCACAUUGGGACUGAGACACGGCCCAGACUCCUACGGGAGGCAGCAGUAGGGAAUUUUCGGCAAUGGGGGCAACCCUGACCGAGCAACGCCGCGUGAGUGAAGACGGCCUUCGGGUUGUAAAGCUCUGUUGUAAGGGAAGAACGGUAGAUAGAGAAUAUCUAAGUGACGGUACCUUACCAGAAAGCCACGGCUAACUACGUGCCAGCAGCCGCGGUAAUACGUAGGUGGCGAGCGUUAUCCGGAAUUAUUGGGCGUAAAGGGUGCGUAGGCGGCCUGUUAAGUAAGUGGUUAAAUUGUUGGGCUCAACCCAAUCCAGCCACUUAAACUGGCAGGCUAGAGUAUUGGAGAGGCAAGUGGAAUUCCAUGUGUAGCGGUAAAAUGCGUAGAUAUAUGGAGGAACACCAGUGGCGAAGGCGGCUUGCUAGCCAAAGACUGACGCUCAUGCACGAAAGCGUGGGGAGCAAAUAGG
RNAcentral lists this ribosomal RNA (754 nucleotides) under uncultured Bulleidia sp. RNAcentral's name for it is "bacterial SSU rRNA". It matches the Rfam family "Bacterial small subunit ribosomal RNA", at positions 28 to 776 of the family's 1533-position model. Lineage: Bacteria; Bacillati; Bacillota; Erysipelotrichia; Erysipelotrichales; Erysipelotrichaceae. The record is from RNAcentral.